UUCCGUAGGUGAACCUGCGGAAGGAUCAUUACACACUGCGCAAUACCUGCUGUUUCGGCAGGUAUUAGCACAGCCUACCCUUGUCUAUUGCUACCAUUCGUGAAUCCCUCGGCAGGGACGCCUGCCGCCGGGACCCCUAAACUCUACUGUAUACAAGCAUCAAAACAUUCUGAAUCAAAAAACAAUUAUUACAACUUUCAACAAUGGAUCUCUUGGUUCUGGCAUCGAUGAAGAACG
RNAcentral lists this unclassified non-coding RNA (237 nucleotides) under Dictyocheirospora heptaspora. RNAcentral's name for it is "partial contains 18S rRNA, ITS1, 5.8S rRNA, ITS2 and 28S rRNA". The stretch from base 193 to 237 matches the Rfam family "5.8S ribosomal RNA", at positions 1 to 45 of the family's 154-position model. The record is from RNAcentral. Lineage: Eukaryota; Fungi; Ascomycota; Dothideomycetes; Pleosporales; Dictyosporiaceae.